AUGAAUAUGAGGAUAAGUAAGCUAAGGGCAAUACAGAAAGUUUUCUCUUUCCUAAAAGAAAGGCACAUAUGGGAGAAAAAAAUCUCUCUUCUUCAGGAAAUUCUUCUCUUUCCUGCAUGUGAUCCCUUGAACUGCUGCUACCGCCUUGCCACCUGCCUAAGGAGGAAGGUCAAUGCUGAGGAGUUGGAGCAAAGAGAUAGGAAGAACAUGAGUCUAUGGCAUUGUUGUGCCUUGCUGUCUCUGGACUUCUUUUAUGGAAGAAUUCAUCAUCUCGACUGCCCCCUGAGUCUACGAGAUAUGUCCGCAGACAAGCUGACUGCCUGCACCAUAGUCAACAGUCAGUAGCAUUAAGCUCCACCUGAGACAGAUGUGUUUCCAAAACGCACAGAGGGAUUUGCUGGCCUGAGCACAGCAAAAGUGUGAUAACUGAAAAAUAAAUAAAUAAAUAAAUAAAGUGGGAUCAUGCCCACCCAUCCCUCCAGCUAGACUGCAUGUUUUGUGCACAAAACUAUGUCAGGGUAGCUCCUCCUCAGGGUAAAGAAAGAAAGAGCUAUGGCCUGAAGAAGCCGUGGGCCUGGUAUGCUGGGAGGGUCUGCUCUUCCAGGGUGUGAAGCUGGUCAUGACAGACCCAGGGAUGUGCGUACUUUGUUUAGCAAGGUGCUCAAGGUUUGGCACUUGUCAGUAGUUUCUAUGGCUCAGCAUUCUUGAAUCGACAGUCUGAUGCACUAAUACCCGCCCAUGAGAACUCACAGCUCCUAAUGUUUUUUUAUUCAAAAGUUAACCAUUGAAUGGAAAACAGACCAGCCAAAAAGACUCUACCCCAAACAAACAAAAUACAAAUAGAAAAACAAACAGCGCUGUUCAGAGCUCAGCUCUGUUGACUGUUCAGAGCAGAAAUCAGAAUUAGGCCUCAUCUAGUUCUUUCAGAGAGUCUAGGGCAGAAGACAACUCCCUGGGUGUCAGCCGUGGUCUGAAGUCACCAGAAUCUGGAACACAUGAAGAAAGGGUGCAAGGAUUCAAGGUAAAGGCAGCCGUGCGUUUGGUUUGGUUGUUUUGUUCUGGCCCUGCUCACCUCAGGAACACAUGAGGUCAGACACCUGGCCCUAAGAAGGCUGCAAAGCAUCUGAUCCUACUGCACGUCUGCCUGGUCUCCUAGAAGGAAGGGCUUUCCUGCGGAGGAAGCUGGCUUACUGUGAAGCUUACCAGAGCUCACGCUCCCGAGGGGUCACUAGCCUGCCUGCCCAACUCCCUCCCAUAAACAAUGCCCUUUGACUACAAAGUGGUGAGACUUAUCUCGGGAGCCAGACUUGGAAGUAUAUCUCGUUGCUGUUUGGUUGCACUGGGUAGGUGACACACUUGGAACACCUCAGAGGACAGAGGGGUCAAAAAGGUGUCACUUUUUACCUAAAGCACUAAAACCUGUUCAUCAUGGGUAAGAACAG
Molecule: long non-coding RNA, 1442 nt
Filed under: Capra hircus (goat)
Lineage: Eukaryota; Metazoa; Chordata; Mammalia; Artiodactyla; Bovidae
Description: lncRNA (ENSCHIG00010001439.1)
Source: RNAcentral